UGGGGAAUAUUGCACAAUGGGCGAAAGCCUGAUGCAGCAACGCCGCGUGAGUGAUGAAGGCCUUCGGGUUGUAAAGCUCUGUCUUUUGGGACGAUAAUGACGGUACCAAAGGAGGAAGCCACGGCUAACUACGUGCCAGCAGCCGCGGUAAUACGUAGGUGGCAAGCGUUGUCCGGAUUUACUGGGCGUAAAGGAUGCGUAGGCGGAUUUUUAAGUGAGAUGUGAAAUACCCGGGCUUAACUUGGGUGCUGCAUUUCAAACUGGGAAUCUAGAGUGCGGGAGAGGAGAAUGGAAUUCCUAGUGUAGCGGUGAAAUGCGUAGAGAUUAGGAAGAACACCAGUGGCGAAGGCGAUUCUCUGGACCGUAACUGACGCUGAGGCAUGAAAGCGUGGGUAGCAAACAGGAUUAGAUACCCUGGUAGUCCACGCCGUAAACGAUGAGUACUAGGUGUAGGAGGUAUCGACCCCUUCUGUGCCGCAGUUAACACAAUCAAGUACUCCGCCUGGGAAGUACGAUCGCAAGAUUUAAAA
This 530-nucleotide ribosomal RNA is filed under the name uncultured bacterium. RNAcentral's name for it is "partial 16S ribosomal RNA". It matches the Rfam family "Bacterial small subunit ribosomal RNA", at positions 355 to 900 of the family's 1533-position model. The record is from RNAcentral.